RNAcentral lists this ribosomal RNA (328 nucleotides) under uncultured eukaryote. Its description in RNAcentral is "partial 18S ribosomal RNA". It matches the Rfam family "Eukaryotic small subunit ribosomal RNA", at positions 1470 to 1796 of the family's 1831-position model. The record is from RNAcentral.
CCCUUAGAUGUUCUGGGCCGCACGCGCGCUACACUGAUACGUUCAGCGAGUAUAUAACCUUGAUUGGAAAAUCUGGGUAAUCUUUUGAAUGCGUAUCGUGCUAGGGAUAGAUUAUUGCAAAUAUUAAUCUUGAACGAGGAAUUCCUAGUAAGCGCAAGUCAACAGCUUGCGUUGAUUACGUCCCUGCCCUUUGUACACACCGCCCGUCGCUACUACUGAUUGGAUGUUUAAGCGAGGUUCUCGAACUGCUAGCGACUUAGCUUCGGUGAGGUCGCAGUGUGGGAAGUGAACCUAGCUUUGGUGUCUAGAGGAAGUAAAAGUCGUAACA